This 800-nucleotide ribosomal RNA is filed under the name Candida tropicalis. RNAcentral describes it as "LSU rRNA". It matches the Rfam family "Eukaryotic large subunit ribosomal RNA", at positions 88 to 907 of the family's 3401-position model. The record is from RNAcentral. Lineage: Eukaryota; Fungi; Ascomycota; Pichiomycetes; Serinales; Debaryomycetaceae.
GGCGAGUGAAGCGGCAAAAGCUCAAAUUUGAAAUCUGGCUCUUUCAGAGUCCGAGUUGUAAUUUGAAGAAGGUAUCUUUGGGUCUGGCUCUUGUCUAUGUUUCUUGGAACAGAACGUCACAGAGGGUGAGAAUCCCGUGCGAUGAGAUGAUCCAGGCCUAUGUAAAGUUCCUUCGAAGAGUCGAGUUGUUUGGGAAUGCAGCUCUAAGUGGGUGGUAAAUUCCAUCUAAAGCUAAAUAUUGGCGAGAGACCGAUAGCGAACAAGUACAGUGAUGGAAAGAUGAAAAGAACUUUGAAAAGAGAGUGAAAAAGUACGUGAAAUUGUUGAAAGGGAAGGGCUUGAGAUCAGACUUGGUAUUUUGUAUGUUACUUCUUCGGGGGUGGCCUCUACAGUUUAUCGGGCCAGCAUCAGUUUGGGCGGUAGGAGAAUUGCGUUGGAAUGUGGCACGGCUUCGGUUGUGUGUUAUAGCCUUCGUCGAUACUGCCAGCCUAGACUGAGGACUGCGGUUUAUACCUAGGAUGUUGGCAUAAUGAUCUUAAGUCGCCCGUCUUGAAACACGGACCAAGGAGUCUAACGUCUAUGCGAGUGUUUGGGUGUAAAACCCGUACGCGUAAUGAAAGUGAACGUAGGUGGGGGCCCGUAUGGGUGCACCAUCGACCGAUCCUGAUGUCUUCGGAUGGAUUUGAGUAAGAGCAUAGCUGUUGGGACCCGAAAGAUGGUGAACUAUGCCUGAAUAGGGUGAAGCCAGAGGAAACUCUGGUGGAGGCUCGUAGCGGUUCUGACGUGCAAAUCGAUCGUCG